This 463-nucleotide ribosomal RNA is filed under the name uncultured bacterium. Its description in RNAcentral is "bacterial SSU rRNA". It matches the Rfam family "Bacterial small subunit ribosomal RNA", at positions 503 to 1533 of the family's 1533-position model. The record is from RNAcentral.
GCCCUUCAGCAGCCGCGGUAAUACGUAGGGUGCAAGCGUUAAUCGGAAUUACUGGGCGUAAAGCGUGCGCAGGCGGUUAUGCAAGACAGAUGUGAAAUCCCCGGGCUCAACCUGGGAACUGCAUUUGUGACUGCAUAGCUAGAGUACGGUAGAGGGGGAUGGAAUUCCACGUGUAGCAGUGAAAUGCGUAGAUAUGUGGAGGAACACCGAUGGCGAAGGCAAUCCCCUGGACCUGUACUGACGCUCAUGCACGAAAGCGUGGGGAGCAAACAGGAUUAGAUACCCUGGUAGUCCACGCCCUAAACGAUGUCAACUGGUUGUUGGGAGGGUUUCUUCUCAGUAACGUAGCUAACGCGUGAAGUUGACCGCCUGGGGAGUACGGCCCGCCAAGGUUGAAAACUCAAAAGNAUUUNACGNAAGGGGGAAUUUUCCNGAUACCCAUCACANUGGCGCCCGNNGGGNC